Molecule: long non-coding RNA, 652 nt
Organism: Gasterosteus aculeatus aculeatus (three-spined stickleback)
Lineage: Eukaryota; Metazoa; Chordata; Actinopteri; Perciformes; Gasterosteidae
Source: Ensembl
UCCAUCGCCGCUGAUCCUUCACACGGCGACCAAAAGGAGGGCAUCUCGUCUGAUCGACCUCGCCCCUCCAUCUGGCAGCUGACUAUGAAAGCUGAACUUUUCUCGACGAAGCGGCAAUCGAUUUUGGCACCAGCUGCACGUCAAAGGUUCCGCUCGUCCGCUAGAACAUCUCACCAACAGCUUACCUGCGCAACCAGGAGGUUGGCAUCCGAUUGCCAAAAGGAGGAUGUGCUAAUGGAGCUUUCUGCACUCAGUCCAUUUUACUGACGAAUGAACCUCCUGCACUGGCUGAACUAGCUUUGUAUUUGCCCAAUUUAACACUUCCACGGAGAACUCACAACACACUGAAGAGCGUUUCUUUCUUCUCCCGGUGACGGUGUUCCGAGCCGUGAGGUAACUUCUGUCUCUGGAGAUUUACUUGAUCAAUUCUCUCGUUCUCUUUGAGGCCAAAACACAAAGACAAAGACACCUCAAACAACACUCACCGACACCCACACACGCCCUCCUACGGCUGCUCUGUCGGGUUUAAAGUGCAGCCAUUAGAGGCUUUUCAGUCCAGUGUAGACAUAAGAAACAGAUGUUCCCUGGACAACCAGAAGUAAUAAACCUGGGAGAUGCACAAUGUUUCUAUGAGUUAUAUUAAUGAUUCAGU